This 24-nucleotide non-coding RNA is filed under the name Arabidopsis thaliana (thale cress). Lineage: Eukaryota; Viridiplantae; Streptophyta; Magnoliopsida; Brassicales; Brassicaceae. The record is from RNAcentral.
GGAGAAAGUGUCUUGUAUUGAAUG